GUGAGGAAUAUUGGUCAAUGGGCGGAAGCCUGAACCAGCCAAGUAGCGUGAAGGAUGACUGCCCUAUGGGUUGUAAACUUCUUUUAUAGGGGAAUAAAAUGAGCCACGUGUGGCUUUUUGUAUGUACCCUAUGAAUAAGGAUCGGCUAACUCCGUGCCAGCAGCCGCGGUAAUACGGAGGAUCCGAGCGUUAUCCGGAUUUAUUGGGUUUAAAGGGAGCGUAGGUGGACAUGUAAGUCAGUUGUGAAAGUUUGCGGCUCAACCGUAAAAUUGCAGUUGAUACUGUGUGUCUUGAGUACAGUAGAGGUGGGCGGAAUUCGUGGUGUAGCGGUGAAAUGCUUAGAUAUCACGAAGAACUCCGAUUGCGAAGGCAGCUCACUGGACUGUUACUGACACUGAGGCUCGAAAGUGUGGGUAUCAAACAGGAUUAGAAACCCCAGUAGUCC
This 445-nucleotide ribosomal RNA is filed under the name uncultured bacterium. Its description in RNAcentral is "bacterial SSU rRNA". It matches the Rfam family "Bacterial small subunit ribosomal RNA", at positions 354 to 796 of the family's 1533-position model. The record is from RNAcentral.